UUAUUACUCAUUCAAUAUGAACUUCUCCUUGAUCUAAUUCUAUUACUUAUUCGAUAUGAACUUAUCCCCGAUCUAAUUCUAUUACUCAUUCGAUCUGAACUUGUCUCCGAUCUAAUUAUAUUACUCAUUCCAUAUGAACUUGUCCCCGAUAUAAUUAUAUUACUCAUUCGAUCUGAACUUGUCUCCGAUCUAAUUCUAUUACUCAUUCCAUAUGAACUUGUCCCUCACCUACUUUAUUACUUAUUCGAUAUGAAUUUGUCCUUUAUCUAAUUCUAUUACUCAUUCGAUAUGAACUUGUCCCCGAUCUAAUUCUAUUACUCAUUCCAUAUGAACUUGUCCCUGAUCUAGUUCUAUUACCCAUUCGAUCUAAAUUUAUCCCCGAGCUUAAUUUAUUUUUCUCUUCAUAUGUCCCCGAGUAUUUGUUGGAUCUUGCUGAAGACCUUGAAGGAUCU
Molecule: long non-coding RNA, 452 nt
Filed under: Arabidopsis lyrata
Lineage: Eukaryota; Viridiplantae; Streptophyta; Magnoliopsida; Brassicales; Brassicaceae
Description: long non-coding RNA (ALYR_LNC000685)
Source: RNAcentral